CCGACCUUAGCUCAGUUGGUAGAGCGGAGGACUGUAGUGUUCGUAGAUAAAUCCUUAGGUCGCUGGUUCGAAUCCGGCAGGUCGGA
RNAcentral lists this transfer RNA (86 nucleotides) under Zea mays. It matches the Rfam family "tRNA". From Rfam's summary of the family: Transfer RNA (tRNA) molecules are approximately 80 nucleotides in length. Their secondary structure includes four short double-helical elements and three loops (D, anti-codon, and T loops). Lineage: Eukaryota; Viridiplantae; Streptophyta; Magnoliopsida; Poales; Poaceae. The record is from Rfam by way of RNAcentral.